UACAGAGGGUGCGAGCGUUGUCCGGAAUUACUGGGCGUAAAGGGCGCGUAGGCGGCCCCGUGCGCGUGCCGUGAAAGCCCGGGGCUCAACCCCGGGUCGGCGGUGCGGACGGCGGGGCUGGAGCCCACCAGAGGCAGGCGGAAUUCCGGGUGUAGCGGUGGAAUGCGUAGAGAUCCGGAAGAACACCGGUGGCGAAGGCGGCCUGCUGGGGUGGAGCUGACGCUGAGGCGCGACAGCGUGGGGAGCAAACAGG
This 253-nucleotide ribosomal RNA is filed under the name uncultured bacterium. Its description in RNAcentral is "partial 16S ribosomal RNA". It matches the Rfam family "Bacterial small subunit ribosomal RNA", at positions 524 to 776 of the family's 1533-position model. The record is from RNAcentral.